GUCCGUUUUCCCCCAUUUAUGGCCAUUUUGGUCCCAUUUCUCCCCAUUUUGGGGUCAUUUCCUCCCAUUUGGGUCCAUUUCCCCCCAUUUUGGGUCCAUUUUGGGUCCAUUUCCCCCAAUUUAGGGCCAUUUGGGGUCCAUUUUCCCCCAUUUAGGGCCAUUUUGUGCCCGUUUUCCCCCUUUUGGGACCAUUUCCCCCCAUUUAGGGCCAUUUUGGUCCCAUUUCCCCCCAUUUAGAGCCAUUUGGGGCCCAUUUCUCCCCAUUUAGGGUCAUUCGGGGUCCAUUUCCCCCCAUUUAGGGCCAUUUGGGGGCCAUUUUCCCCCAUUUAGGGCCAUUUUGGGCCCAUUUCUCCCCAUUUUGGGGUCAAUUCCUCCCAUUUGGGGUCCAUUUUCCCCCAUUUAGGGCCAUUUGGGGCCCAUUUCCCCCCAUUUAGGGCCAUUUUGGGGUCAAUUCACCCCCAUUUCCCCCAUUUUGGGUCCAUUUCCCCCCAUUUAGGGCCAUUUGGGUCCAUUUCCCCCCAUUUAGGGCCAUUUUGGGGCCGUUUUGGGGCCGUUCGGACCCUUUUAUCCCCCCC
RNAcentral lists this long non-coding RNA (575 nucleotides) under Gallus gallus (chicken). RNAcentral describes it as "lncRNA (ENSGALG00010000410.1)". The record is from RNAcentral. Lineage: Eukaryota; Metazoa; Chordata; Aves; Galliformes; Phasianidae.